Long non-coding RNA from Lagopus muta (rock ptarmigan), 979 nucleotides. RefSeq lists it as uncharacterized. The transcript has 2 exons. The record is from RefSeq and is a predicted model, not a curated record. NCBI's taxonomy places the organism in Eukaryota, Metazoa, Chordata, Aves, Galliformes, Phasianidae.
GUGGGGAAGGAUCUCUGGUUGAAGAUCCCUUCCUCAUGGAGUGUCCUUUGCGAGCAUAGCUCUUCAGAGGCAGUGUUACCCAGAAAUUGUUUGGUCAUGCUAAAAAUCCAGAUCACAUAGGGAAAAUGGGGAGGACAAGUAGAAAAAGAUGUGCAGCUAAAAGAACAGAACCUCCAUCUACCAGAAGCACUUUCAUCUCAAAAAUGCCACAAGCACAAGCAGAUGUGGGAGCAACCCCCAAGCAACGAGCCCAACCUUUGAAGAAGGAAACAGGACUAGCAAGUUGGUUGGUAAAGGACGCUAUUUGAGAUCAAGGCUGCACCAGGAGCUACAAAAGCAAUGCCCUGAUGAUGAGAGAUGGCCCUGUGUGAGGGCUGCCACACUGCGAUUUGUGCCUUAGGAGUGGCACUGUCCCUGGAAGCUGACUCUGGGGAGGGCCUUCCUGUGCCACCCCUCAGCCCUCCGAGACUCCCUGGCUGGCCAGAUGUUGCAGUGCCCCUUUCUGCCAGAGCUUUCCAAGUCUUGGGCAAUAUAUCAAGGAAAGCUAUUUUAAUCCAUUCCGCUUCCCUUGUUGGCCGACAUCCAGGUCAUCACUCCGCACACUUUGCAUUAUGCAGUUCGGAUCGAUUUCUGUUCAUCUUCCCAUGGAUUUGUGCUUUAAUUUCCCUUUCACUAACUCACUUCACAGCCAUGCCUGUAAAUGACAGUGCAAGCAGAGUGCUCGACGGGAAAAGAAGUUGUUGGGGAAUUAUCUUCAAAUCUAGGAGACAUGGAGCAGCAUGCCCUCAAACAUGCAGCUCUAGGAGCCCCGUGCAGCAUAGAAGGCCUGCAGUGAGAGGAGCACUACCUACACAUAAUGGUGACUUUUCUUGGCCCUCAUGUCCCAGUCAGAUGACAUACUGGGAGAGAGUGAUCAGGGAGAGUGCUUUUCUGGAAAUCCUCCUUUGGGAGUGAGCUUCCAUCCUUCACUGCAUGUGCG